Molecule: long non-coding RNA, 4102 nt
Organism: Cucurbita moschata (crookneck pumpkin)
Lineage: Eukaryota; Viridiplantae; Streptophyta; Magnoliopsida; Cucurbitales; Cucurbitaceae
Exons: 2
Source: RefSeq, a predicted model, not a curated record
UCAAGUGUUUUCUCCGAUUCGAGGCGAUGUUCGACUCUGAAUUCCCGCCGCCGUUGCCGGUUCAGUUCACAGUAUCUCGAUUCGUUUAGUUUUACAAUCUGGAGUCCAAGUUUGAGUUGAACCAUUCAUCAUAGAAGACUUUCCGCAGGUUUCUAUGGAUUCCGAAUCUCCUGGCAGAUCCUAAUAUUCGGCGAACUCAACUGGAGAUCAGGUACACGUUUUAAUAGCUAAUUUUGACUGGAUCAAGUUGAUCCAGGUUGGACUUACGCUCGCUGAUUAGGAAGGUAAUCUUCCGGAUUUGGGCACGGACAAGUUCUACAGGUGGGAGUUUAAUUUUAGGGAUUUACUAAAUUAUGUGAGGGUGUUCUUGGUGCCUAUGGUUUCUCGAUGAGAUUCUUCCCCGAUUAGCACGGCGGCGUUAACAGGGAAGUGUACUUGAACAAUACUAAUCUUGAUAAGUAUGCUGCUGGUAUUUUGUAUUGUUUAGAGCAUUUGUCUACAGCUAGAAAUUUUUCAUUUUAACAGUACAUAUCUUCCUGAGCGAUGACUUGUACGCAUCAUUCCUAUCAAUUCCAUUUUAGUUAUGAACUCACGAUUGUCUUCCUGAGCGACAAUUUGCAUUCAGUUGGCUGAUAUUUAUUUUUUUCAACCACCCAGUUGCUCCUAAAUCUGUCGAAAUAUAAAUGUUUGAAGGGUAUUGAUCAUUGAUAGGGUAAUGGAGGUUGUGAGAUUGUAGGUAAUAUCGAGGCAUUGGAUUUAAUGUGGCCUAGCUAGGGCAUUGGAGUUAUACCCUGGUCUUAACGGUUGCAAUUUUUUUUCUCUUUUGAGUUAGAAGAUGAUAUUUGGGGUGAUUAAGACGAGGAAAACAUUUGGGGCGUUGGAUUACAGCACCCUAAAUUCUGAAAGCUGACCUAAUGCAUCACAAGGCUGGUGGCCAAGUAUAGUGAUAGGCCUCCAAUCACAAAAGUUUACAAGUGUAGGCAUGUGAAGGGGCGGGCGUGAAGGCUAGUUUGCUUUGUAGAGCGGGGCCUGUAAUUUUCUUUUGGUAGUUAGAAUGAGGGUUACGUAAGGGAGGGCUAUUAUAGAGGGAGCGUUUGUGAGAGGAGGGUAUCUUUUUUCUGCAUUUUUCGGCUUGAACAUUCUCUUUAGUGAAUCUGGGAGAGGUGGGAAACUCCCAAAUCUCUCCUUUGUUCCUUGUUGAUAAUUAAAUUGUUGGCUUAGGCCUAACAUUUAGGUCUAUGCAUUUGUCAACUUUCGUUCUUGAAGUAAACUCCUGAUUUUUUGCUUGAUAUUUUGGUUUGCUAUUAACUAUUAGCUCUUCUAGUAUCCUUAGUCAUUCGUUCCUAAAUUGUAUUAUUAGGUCAAAUCUCUCCUUUGUUCCUUGUUGAUAAUUAAAUUGUUUGGAGAAAGUUAGAAUUCAUCCCAAACCAUAGGGACCAAAUUUGUACUUUAACCUUUAAAGAAUUUGGUUUUAGAUGAAAUUUGUAGCUGUUGGGGUAUAAAAAUUGGAUCUGGUGCACUGCUAGUAGGAAAAAGGAGAAUAAAACAGGGGAGUUUUGUAUAGUAUGUUUGUUACAAUCCCUUAGUAUGUUCUUAAUGUUUCUAGCAUCUUUUACAUUGAAGAUUUAAAUUGUACCCCAUAGAGACUAAUGUAACCUUUGGCAUAAAGUAUCUGCAAUCAGACAUGGUGACAAUUCUUUUGGAUUAUUACUGCAACAACCUUCUCAGAACACUAGGACCUCCUGAUUUUGUAUCACUAAAUCUAAUUGUUUGUUUUAUCCAUUCUAGCCUAUCCUCUGAAAUCUGGAAAUGAUACGAGGGUUAAACUUCAAGGUCCCUUGAUGAUGCUCCUUUGAAUUUCAAGUCUGCAUAUCCUUGCCAUCAACUCUUUUUUUCCUUGAGUCGAACAAAUGAAGGGGUUUAAGCCUUCAACUCCAAGAGAAGAAGUAAAUGCCUUUUAACAUUUUCAUCAGCAAUAUUUUAAAAAUUGUGAUGUUGAGAUUUGAGAAUGACCGUUGGAAUCUCCGUUCUAGAAGUGACAAUAGAUGGAGGUUGAGGCUUAUGGCUUGUAUGCCUAACCCCGUUGGAAGGAGAUCUUGAUGCAAACUUUAGUUUGAAAAUGUUGGUCAUGGAUGGCAUCCAAUGCUUAGAAGAAUCCUCAGUGACAGGAAACUUUGGCAUCAGCUUCUUGUAGACUUGUGAUAGAACCCAAAUGUAUUGAUAGGAUUGCUGUUAGGGUAGGAUUACAAACAUGGCUAGGGAAUUGAAGGUAUAUUAGUAAUUAGCUAAGGAAGUUGUUAGGGUGGUUUGUUAUAAAUAGGGUGCGGGGAAAGGGUAGACAAUUGUUUAGUUGGUCGAGGACUUGAGUGAUCUCAAGAACGAGAGGGUCCAAGUACCUCGAAUGCUUGGAGGGUUAUAUUGUAUUUCCAUUAUAUUUUAUAUUUCAAAACAUUUAGGUUCUAUCAACUUUCUAGAAUUCUUGUUACCAAAAUAAAUGAUUGGAGAAUAUCAUUAGUGAAGUAAUUAAUAUUGCAUCUCUACGUGGGCGCAUCCGACAGUUUAAUUUUUUCUCCCUAAAUUCCUCGUUUUCUCUCUCAACAUUUAUUGGGCUAUUUUGUUUGCAAUUUUUAUGAGGCAGAUAUGGAUAAGUAUCAUUGUAUAUGCAUUUCAAAACAGCAAGCAUAGGAACUUACUGCUGGAAAUGAUCUGUAAAUUGAUUCUACUUUGAAAUACUGGCAACUCUGAAGUCCUUUGAGUUGAGUUCAUACAACUGUGAUUUGGGUUCGAAUUUACAAACUAGUUUUUGUGGAUCUCUGUAGGCUUAGCUUUCUGGUUAUGAAAGUCUACCUAAGGAUGUUGAAUGUGCCUUUUGAGGUUGACAGAUCGUUUCUGAUUUUUCAGCAUCCUUCUGGGCAGCAGAGUCAUUAUGGUUUUUUGGGCUAAAGAAGUGAUAGGCCCCAAAUUACUAGGGUGUAUGAUCGUAAGCGUUGUGAGGAAGGAGGGAACUGUAUGAGGGGUUGUUUUCAUGUAGGUGUGGAGCCCAAAGAGUUUAUUAGUGCGUGUUGAGGCCUUGAGGGAGAAUGGAAAUUAAUAGGCGAGAUUUUGGUUAAUUGCCGAAUCACAUCUUCCUCACCUCUAUUUUUCUUAAAAGAAACAGUUUUGGUUAAAAUACCAUUUUGUACCUUGGGUUUUAUUCCAUUUUAGCUUCUUUACUUUUAACUGACCAAAUUUAGCAUAUGUACUUUUGAUAAAUCCUAAACUAGUUCAUGCUAUUAGUUUGGUCAACUUUCUUUUAUAAGAAAAACAGUCUCAUUUGGCUUUCUAUCUAUAAAUUUUGUAAACAUAUUCACAUUGUGUUUCUCUGGCAUGAAAGUUAUUAUUAUUAUUAUUAUUUAACCAAUUUCAAUAAAAAUUAUCUUCAUGUAUUUAAUUGUUGGAGCUUCUUGUUCAAUCGCUCUGGUUGUUCAACCUAUGCCUAGAGGAUGGCCUUCUGUAUCGAAGCAUCCGUCUUAAUUAAUGCCAGUUGGAGAAAUUUUUGGUGUCCUACUAAGUAUAUUCCCUUGUGCUGGUAUUUAUGCCUCGAGUUCUUUUAUUCCUCUCUUCUUGUAAUUAUAGUAGAGUUAUGUUCCAACGAAAGAAAAGAAUGAUUGUGAUUUUUCAUCUCAUGUUCCAGAUGAGUAUAGUCCGGUUGUUCUCUGAUUAUUAUUUGGAUUGUGGAUGGUAAAUUUUCUAUGUUACUGCUAGUUUAUGAUCGAUCGGGCUUCAGUUUAAUUGUGUUUUAUGACUUUGACUCUUUUGUGCCAGUUCUCAGCUUCUUGUACGUAGAUGAUAUCAAUGAAUGAAGGUGUUAUUUUCUACGGCAUUUCGUCAUCACGCUUGUUAUUUCACAGGUUCCUUCCUCUGUCUCUUUUCUCCUAUAUUUGAUAGUAAGGAUAAUUGGUUUUUCAAUUUUUUGCUAUACGUAGCAUAAUAGUAAUUGAUAUGUACAUUUAUACCACAAUACGUAGCAUAAGUAGCAUAAUAGCAAUUGAUAAUAAUUAGAUAAAUACGUUGCACUGUUACUUUUAUACCACAAUAAUUCAAGGUACAGUGUUACUAAUUA